GACGAACGCUGGCGGCGUGCUUAACACAUGCAAGUCGAACGGAAAGGCCCUGCUUUUGUGGGGUGCUCUAGUGGCGAACGGGUGAGUAACACGUGAGUAACCUGCCCUUGACUUUGGGAUAACUUCAGGAAACUUGGGCUAAUACCGGAUAGGAGCUCCUGCUGCAUGGUGGGGGUUGGAAAGUUUCGGCGGUUGGGGAUUGACUCGCGGCUUAUCAGCUUGUUUGUGGGGUAGUGGCUUACCAAGUCUUUGACGGGUAGCCGGCCUGCGAGCGGGAACGGCCACAAGGGGACUAAGGUACGGCCCAGACGCCUACGGGAGGCAGCAGUGGGAAACAUUACACAAUGGGCGGAAGCCAGAGACAACAACGCCGCGUGCGGGAUAACGGCCUUCGGGUGGAAAACCGCUGUCGCCUGUGACGAAGCGUUAGUGACGGUAAUGGGUAAAGAAGCACCGGCUAACUACGUG
This 468-nucleotide ribosomal RNA is filed under the name uncultured bacterium. RNAcentral describes it as "partial 16S ribosomal RNA". It matches the Rfam family "Bacterial small subunit ribosomal RNA", at positions 28 to 507 of the family's 1533-position model. The record is from RNAcentral.